RNAcentral lists this ribosomal RNA (253 nucleotides) under uncultured bacterium. Its description in RNAcentral is "partial 16S ribosomal RNA". It matches the Rfam family "Bacterial small subunit ribosomal RNA", at positions 524 to 776 of the family's 1533-position model. The record is from RNAcentral.
UACGUAGGGUGCAAGCGUUAAUCGGAAUUACUGGGCGUAAAGCGUGCGCAGGCGGUGAUGUAAGUCAGAUGUGAAAUCCCCGGGCUCAACCUGGGAACUGCAUUUGUGACUGCAUCGCUGGAGUGCGGAAGAGGGGGAUGGAAUUCCGCGUGUAGCAGUGAAAUGCGUAGAUAUGCGGAGGAACACCGAUGGCGAAGGCAAUCCCCUGGGCCUGCACUGACGCUCAUGCGCGAAAGCGUGGGGAGCAAACAGG